This 377-nucleotide ribosomal RNA is filed under the name uncultured bacterium. Its description in RNAcentral is "bacterial SSU rRNA". It matches the Rfam family "Bacterial small subunit ribosomal RNA", at positions 521 to 896 of the family's 1533-position model. The record is from RNAcentral.
UAAGACAGAGGGUGCAAACGUUGCUCGGAAUCAUUGGGCGUAAAGCGCGUGUAGGUGGCUCUGCACGUCGGACGUGAAAGCCCGGGGCUCAACCCCGGCAGUGCAUCCGAAACGAGGGAGCUAGAGUGCUGGAGAGGCGGGUGGAAUUCCCGGUGUAGAGGUGAAAUUCGUAGAUAUCGGGAGGAACACCGGUGGCGAAGGCGACCCGCUGGCCAGCAACUGACACUGAGACGCGAAAGCGUGGGGAGCAAACAGGAUUAGAUACCCUGGUAGUCCACGCUGUAAACGAUGCGCACUGGGUGUCGCGGGUAUUGACCCCCGCGGUGCCGAAGCCAACGCGUUAAGUGCGCCGCCUGGGAAGUACGGCCGCAAGGCUA